Molecule: ribosomal RNA, 494 nt
Filed under: uncultured bacterium
Lineage: Bacteria
Description: partial 16S ribosomal RNA
Rfam family: Bacterial small subunit ribosomal RNA
Source: RNAcentral
GACGAACGCUGGCGGCGUGCCUAAUACAUGCAAGUAGAACGCUGAAGGAGGAGCUUGCUCUUCUGGAUGAGUUGCGAACGGGUGAGUAACGCGUAGGUAACCUGCCUGGUAGCGGGGGAGAACUAUUGGAAACGAUAGCUAAUACCGCAUAAAAUUGAUUAUUGCAUGAUAGUCAAUUAAAAGGUGCAAUUUCAUCACUACCAGAUGGACACGCGUUGUAGUAGCUAGUUGGUGAGGUAACGGCUCACCAAGGCAACGAUACAUAGCCGACCUGAGAGGGGGAGCGGCCACACUGGAAAUGAUACACGGUCCAGACUCCGACGGGAGGCAGCAGUAGGGAAUCUUCCGCAAGGGGCGAAAGCCUGACGGAGCAGCGCCGCGUGAGUGAUGAAGGUCUUCGGAUAGUAAAACUCUGUUAUUAGGGAAGAACAUAGGGGUAAGUAACUGUGCACAUCUUGACGGUACCUAAUCAGAAAGCCACGGCUAACUACGUG